GCUGAUGUCUGCGGUUACUGGUUGGGAAGAAAAAUCUAUAGCAGAAUUAGUCCAAUGGUAUUUCCUGAUGCUGUGGGGUGAAAGGCUUCAAACAAUUGGAUGCUGAAGAAGAGUUGCUGCUGAAUUCCUUUAUGUAAUUUAACCAGUUUUCAGUGCUUGCUUUUGGUCUUGAUUUUUUUUUUUUCUUUUCACUUUUGUUUUGUUUUGUUUUGUAGGCAAUGUUGCACUCUCCUGGGAUUCUCUUUUUCUUGAAGUGAAUUUUCACAACAUGUAGGUAUCUGUAAAGUCACAGCCUGUUACACUCCAAAUAUUUGCUCUUUAUCCAUGUCUUUUUCACAAAUGAAAUUGUUAACAUCUUCACAGUAGAAGUCAUUCCAGAGCCCAGCGUAGAUUAAGCCAGCACAAUCUUCUCCUGGCCCGUGCCCAUGAUUCCAGUUAUCAGGUUGCCCGGUUUUCCAGUUUGUGUAAAGUGGUAAGGAUCCAUCCAGCCACCUCCAUUCAUUUUCCUUCUCUGAAUCUGUAAGUCCAAUCCAGAAGCUGCCUUUCCCCGAAAUCUGCCUCUUUAUCCAUUGCUGUUCUUCUUUGUUGUUUAUGAUAACCAAGCGCGAUGCCUUCUCUUCACAGAAUAACUUUGCCUCUUCAAAAAUUUCUCUUUCAAUUGAGAAGUAGUAGCAUUUUUCUGUGUAGUUCUUCCAAUGAGGAGAACAACCGUUAGCCUCAGGCACCGAUGUAGGUUCGCUCUGUAGUGCCAUUGGCAUCCCUGGACCUGGUGGUCCUGGUGGGCCAGGUGGGCCCUUUGGACCAGGCAGCCCAGGGACUCCAGGUAGUCCAGGUAGUCCUCGAGGUCCUGGUACGCCUGGCUCUCCCACAGUUCCUUGCAGGCCUUGAAAUCCUGGUGGGCCUUGUGGCCCCUGUGGACCAUCUUUGCCUUGUGGCCCUGGUGGCCCUGGGUCUCCGCUUGGUCCAGGAAGACCCGUUUUGCCAGGAGAACCUCUUUGACCUUUGGAGCCUGGUGAUCCUCUUGAGCCUUUCCCUCCUUUCUCUCCUGGUGGCCCAAUUGGCCCAGGUGGGCCCUUUUCACCUGCAGGUCCUGGUGGUCCAGGCUCUCCUUUCUCUCCUUUUUGUCCUUUUAGGCCAGCAGGGCCAAGAGGACCUUGAGGGCCUCUGUCACCUUUAGGUCCCCUUGGACCAGGAGGGCCUUGUAGGAUAGUGAAGUUCUUGAUGAGCUGACCGUGUUUGGAAUCUACCAGCUUCAUUUCUUCCAUGAUUACUGACAAAUUGGCAACUUCAACAUCUAACCUUGACCUCAUCAAAUCCUGCUGCAUCUUGAGUGAUGCAGAGUCUAAACGAAUAUUGGCUAGUGUGCUGUUCAUAAAAAUCAGCUCAUCUGAAUGUUUACUUAAGGUGUCCGUACAAGUUGUCCUGACCUCAUUGAGAUUGCUAGUCAAUGUCCGUAGAUGAUGAGCAGUGUAGCUGAUGUUGCUAAUUAUAUUGACUAUAUCAGUCUCAAAAACCUGGAACCUCUCUUCUAGUUGGUUGAAUUUGGCAGAAGUUCUGUUUUCAUAUUCUUUAUGCUGUUCCUGGAGAUCCUUCAGAUUUUGUUCGUUGGCUUGGGCAAUUGUGCUGAUAUUCUCCAUUUGCCCACUGAAGGAGCUGAGCUGAUUGUUCAUGUCUUCAAGUGUAUCAUUAUUAGCUUUUGCUAAUGCUGAGUUGUUGGCAGCCAAAGUCUGUAAAUUCUGUACUUUUUCCUUAAGCCAGUCAGUGUCCUUCCGGGCUUGAAGAACAACCUGCUGCAGGUUUUGAAAAUCAUUCUUGAUUCUUAGAAUAGCCAAACUUUUAUCUUCCAUAGACUUCUGCAGGACACUGAUAAGAUUUCUUUGCUGUAUUUGUGUCAAGUUUAAGUUGUUAAGGUUCAUGAUGACCACAUUAUGAGAAUGCACUUGGUUUUGCAAAUCUGAUUGGAUAUUACUUGUGUCUUGUUGAAGAUUGUUUAUAUAGCCAGUAUAUGCCUGAAGAGUCUUAUUGACACUGAUGAUCAUGAAAGAGUUACUAUCUAAGGCGCUUCUCAUUUGGCUCUGUCUGUCAUCUAGUACAUUUCCAGAUUCUUGGAGCUUCUCCAGUGUAUCUUUAUUUCUGGUAGUUUUCUCUGCAAUGUCAUGAAGCUGCUGACGAAGAGCCAGAAUGUCAGAUCUGAAGCUAGACAGCUCAGUGUUAGUAUUCAAGGCUUUCUGUCCAGCUUGGUCAUCUAAUUUCUUCAGAUCACUCUCCACCUCUGUGAGCUUUUCUGUAUAUCUUCUAUGGGACGUUUCCAGGCCACCUGUCACAUUGUCCAUUUUUUCUACAACUUUGUAUCCCAGAAUGGCUAUGGUAAUUGUUAACAGGACACACAGAAUGUAUAGUAAGAUGAUAGAAAACUUCAGUGCCCAGUUAUUUUUACACUUGGUACAUUGAGUCCCCUCCUGAAUACCAAACCUCUUGUAGCCAAAGGACUGCACCUCCUCCUCUUCUGCAAAAUCGUCUUUCAUCUUGGCGCCGGGGCGGCUCGGAUAGGACGCACGGGGCGCGGCGGGGGCUGGCUGCCUACUGUCGGGCCAUGCCGGGGGCCGGCCGCGCCCUGCCCGCUGCCGCUGCCCCUGCCGCUGCCGCUGCCGCCCGCCGCGGCUCCUCUCGCCGCCAGCACCGAGCGGCCCGGCCCGGCCCCGCCGAGCAGCGGCCCGGCCCCGCCUCCCUCCCUCCGCCCCGGGGAAGGGGCCGCGGCCGGGGCCGGGCCGUGGGGGCGGGCUCGGGGCCCCGCCUGAGGCUGGGAUGGCGGCGGGACGGGAUGGGGCUCGCUCGUCGCCCGUCGGUGAUGAGCAGGCAUCCCGGAUGGGAUGCGGUGUCCCUCCUUGACCUCCCUGCGCGUUUUGGCCUCCUAAGUGCCCGAAUGCCUCGUUGGUACCGAAGUGAGAAAUCCCGAACCGCGGGUGCGUACCCAUCAGGUGGGACGUGCGGCGCUCAGCCUCAAACCAUCCUACUGGAUUCAAAGGGAUCCCGCUCAGUGCGUGGCCUGAAGAAUAUGUGUAAAUAUUUGUGGGAUUAGGGAUGUACAGGCUGGUUGUCUUUUAUUUCUCUCCUUCUGGAUGUUGCCAGGAAUAAUGCAGCAUUUCCAGGCUCCCGUUUUCUUGAAAGGCGCACAAAGAUUUGCUGCAAACCUGCCCUUACUUUGGCAAUUGAAGGUGGCAAUACAGGUUUGUGAUCCCGCUCUAAUCCGUAACAUCAGUGCUGAUGAAGGAGAGCUCAUGCACCGUAUGCCACUUCAUUCUUGGGAUGAGCAAAGCAGUGCAGGCGCCAGAGAGGCUUUCCCACUGCAGAAAGGAGACGUGCGUGAUUUGGCCUCUGCAGUGCAGCUGGAGGUAUCCCAUCCUGCUGCAUGGGGCGAUGCUGAAAGAAGGGAUGGUGCUAUACGGUCUUUUCAGCCAUUUAGUGGCUCUGAUGGGAUCACAGCAUCCCAGCAGAGUAGUAGUGCGAUAUCACGGCAUUGGUUUAACACCAGGUCAAAAAGUACUAUAAACCUAUCGGGUAGGGUCUCUCCUGAGCAAGGAAUGGGGGAGUAUAUUCAUCAAAUGUAACCAGCGCAGAACAAAAAUUAAAGCCAGGAUUUAGAAAUCUGAAUUCCUUCGUUUCUUUCUGAUUGGGUUAGCAACCUCUUGAGCAAGUUUUUCACUACUCAUUCUCUUCCAGCUCACUACCACCAAAGAUGCCUGCACACCAGCUGCAGGAGCCAUUUGCUACUUUAAAGCAGGGCUCAGGUAUCAAAGAGACAUGACUCAGCUUUUCACUGACACUCCAGCAGUUGACUGGAAUAUCCGUUUUUGGUGCAAGCCAUGAAUAAAACUACUAAAUCUGAGUAAAGUCAUCAGGUAAUUGAGGAAGUCCUGCAGUAGAGUGUUGGAUUAAACCAACAGCACUCACAAUAUUUAUAGAACUGACUAAUACUUGGUCAGUUCUACCAUUCAUUUUGGAUCCUAAGUCAACUUACAGUUUUCUUGAAGAAUCAAUAUUGUUCAGUUUCCCAAACUAAAAACCUACCCUGAAUCUGAUCCAAAGCCCGUGGAUACAUACCCAAGAUACAUAUUUCUUCUUCCAAGAAGAAAUCUUUUCAUUAAUUAUCAUGCACUGAAUGAAGAACAGUAAUGAAACCCCACUUCUCUAGAGGAAAACUAUCCGAGCUUUCCUCUACACUAUACAGUGCUGAAGGAAUGCAAAGAAAGAAUUACCAAAAUCUACGAUAUCACAAGAUGCACAAGGAGCAGGAGUGGGUAGGAAUUUAGAAAAUUCACCAGAAGCAGUUGCUGAUAACGCUUUCAACUCUUCGGAGAGUAACCUUAGUGAACUGGCAGAUAGCAACCAAACAGUGAAGAGACCUAUGGGUCUGUGUCUUAUGAACUGCUGUAUCAGGGAGAGAUGUACUCCUUACUUGUCGAAAGAAAAAAUGAUGGAUAUUUAGAAUCCAUAAGAAAGUAUGAUUAAUA
Molecule: long non-coding RNA, 4511 nt
Filed under: Gallus gallus (chicken)
Lineage: Eukaryota; Metazoa; Chordata; Aves; Galliformes; Phasianidae
Source: RNAcentral